AAUCAACGCUGGCGGCGUGCCUAACACAUGCAAGUCGCGCGCGAAAGGGGGGGCAACCCCCGAGUAAAGCGGCGAACGGGUGAGUAACACGUGGGUAAUCUACCUUCGAGUGGGGAACAACAUCGGGAAACUGGUGCUAAUUCCGCAUGACAUCGUCGGGGCUUCGGUUCCGACGCUCAAAGCUGGGGAUCGUAAGACCUAGCGCUUGAAGAUGAGCCCGCGUCCGAUUAGCUAGUUGGCGGGGUAAUAGCCCACCAAGGCUCCGAUCGGUAGCCGGCCUGAGAGGGCGGACGGCCACACUGGAACUGAGACACGGUCCAGACUCCUACGGGAGGCAGCAGUGGGGAAUUUUUCGUC
This 357-nucleotide ribosomal RNA is filed under the name uncultured bacterium. RNAcentral's name for it is "bacterial SSU rRNA". It matches the Rfam family "Bacterial small subunit ribosomal RNA", at positions 32 to 370 of the family's 1533-position model. The record is from RNAcentral.